RNAcentral lists this ribosomal RNA (484 nucleotides) under uncultured bacterium. RNAcentral's name for it is "bacterial SSU rRNA". It matches the Rfam family "Bacterial small subunit ribosomal RNA", at positions 30 to 507 of the family's 1533-position model. The record is from RNAcentral.
AUUGAACGCUGGCGGCAUGCCUUACACAUGCAAGUCGAACGGCAGCACGGGAGCAAUCCUGGUGGCGAGUGGCGAACGGGUGAGUAAUAUAUCGGAACGUGCCCAGUCGUGGGGGAUAACGUAGCGAAAGCUACGCUAAUACCGCAUACGAUCUACGGAUGAAAGCGGGGGAUCGCAAGACCUCGCGCGAUUGGAGCGGCCGAUAUCAGAUUAGCUAGUUGGUGGGGUAAAAGCUCACCAAAGCGACGAUCUGUAGCUGGUCUGAGAGGACGACCAGCCACACUGGAACUGAGACACGGUCCAGACUCCUACGGGAGGCAGCAGUGGGGAAUUUUGGACAAUGGGCGCAAGCCUGAUCCAGCAAUGCCGCGUGCAGGAUGAAGGCCUUCGGGUUGUAAACUGCUUUUGUACGGAACGAAACGGUGAGCUCUAAUAAAGCUUGCUAAUGACGGUACCGUAAGAAUAAGCACCGGCUAACUACGUG